UACGAAGGGGGCUAGCGUUGCUCGGAAUCACUGGGCGUAAAGGGUGCGUAGGCGGGCCUUUAAGUCAGAGGUGAAAUCCUGGAGCUCAACUCCAGAACUGCCUUUGAUACUGCAGAUCUUGAGUUCGGGAGAGGUGAGUGGAACUGCGAGUGUAGAGGUGAAAUUCGUAGAUAUUCGCAAGAACACCAGUGGCGAAGGCGGCUCACUGGCCCGAUACUGACGCUGAGGCACGAAAGCGUGGGGAGCAAACAGG
RNAcentral lists this ribosomal RNA (253 nucleotides) under uncultured bacterium. RNAcentral's name for it is "partial 16S ribosomal RNA". It matches the Rfam family "Bacterial small subunit ribosomal RNA", at positions 524 to 776 of the family's 1533-position model. The record is from RNAcentral.